ACACUCCUACGGGAGGCAGCAGUGGGGAAUUUUGGACAAUGGGCGAAAGCCUGAUCCAGCAAUGCCGCGUGAGUGAAGAAGGCCUUCGGGUUGUAAAGCUCUUUUGUCAGGGAAGAAACGGUGAGAGCUAAUAUCUCUUGCUAAUGACGGUACCUGAAGAAUAAGCACCGGCUAACUACGUGCCAGCAGCCGCGGUAAUACGUAGGGUGCAAGCGUUAAUCGGAAUUACUGGGCGUAAAGCGUGCGCAGGCGGUUUUGUAAGUCUGAUGUGAAAUCCCCGGGCUCAACCUGGGAAUUGCAUUGGAGACUGCAAGGCUAGAAUCUGGCAGAGGGGGGUAGAAUUCCACGUGUAGCAGUGAAAUGCGUAGAUAUGUGGAGGAACACCGAUGGCGAAGGCAGCCCCCUGGGUCAAGAUUGACGCUCAUGCACGAAAGCGUGGGGAGCAAACAGGAUUAGAAACCCGAGUAGUCC
This 471-nucleotide ribosomal RNA is filed under the name uncultured organism. RNAcentral's name for it is "partial 16S ribosomal RNA". It matches the Rfam family "Bacterial small subunit ribosomal RNA", at positions 333 to 796 of the family's 1533-position model. The record is from RNAcentral.